Molecule: long non-coding RNA, 2582 nt
Filed under: Homo sapiens (human)
Lineage: Eukaryota; Metazoa; Chordata; Mammalia; Primates; Hominidae
Description: HSALNT0344259
Source: RNAcentral
UGUGCGUGUGUGUGUGUUUGUAAAAUCCUCUCCCCUUUUCUGGGCAGAUCCAAGGUGACACAUACAUUUUUAUUAUUUGAAGUAUCAUAUUCAAGGUCUUUCAGCUCACCCUGGUGGGAUCAAGAGGUUCCCGACGCAGCAAAAGGCACCGCCCCUCCCACUGCCACCACACAGGCCAGAAUUAAAAGCGCACCACUGACUGCCCAGGGAAUAGUUUGUUUCCAGCACAGCGAUGGACAAAGUUCCACAGAUAUAAAGAGAAAUAUUCCCUGGGCAUAUUUUCAGUAGCAGGCAUUUAGUGCAACGCACCGGCAACAGCAUACACCCUCAGGAUGUAUCAGUAGACUUGCACCCAACACAUAAGCAAAGGCUGGAGACUUUUCUGCAAACUGUUACAAGGCUGCUGAACAUGAAGGGUUUAUCUCACCAAGUAAAGGCCAGGAAAUAACAGAGUGGACCCCACUGAUGAGGCUCAGUGCCACCUGGAUACAAGACUAGGAGACAAUCCAGACGGGUCCACAAAGUGCAUUCUCUCCAUCACCCCCAACAGAGUUUUCUGCAGCAACUGAAAUUGAUUAUCUGUAUCAGAAACCUGGCAUUCUGCAUUUAAGAUUGCUUUAGCUUAAUCCACCAAGUCCCUUGUAACAAAUCCCUUCUUGGGUAAGACAGACAAUUAGAUUGGAUGAAAGUGACCAGAGAAGGUUCUGGAAUCUAACAGGCAAAAAUCUGCUGAGAGAGAUUCCCACAGCAGGCUGCCCUGGCUGGGACCGUGGUCCAUGUGUGCUGUACUUUAAACCAUAAGACCUCAUAAUCCCUGCAGUACUGCUUCCCCAUAAACGAAUGACCAUUCAUUUAAUGGUCAUUCGAUGGUGUUGGUCUCAUUCAUGCUGCUAUGGUAUCCACGUGUAUCUACAGUUAGAGUAGGAAGAGACGGGGAUGUUUGGUAGACAUAGUCUUUCUUGCUCUGAUUCCAGCUUGUUUUCUGUCUCCUUGGCUACCUCUUUCUGGAAGAAUCAAGUCUUCUGAUCAGCAAGCCAGGACUUCCGGAGUAAUUCUAAAAAGCCAGUGGGUCUUGUCCAACCAGACCCUGUACAGACUAGGAGGUCUGGGAUAUUCUGUGACAAUUCCAGGCUGAAGCAGAAAAGCAGAGGCUACAGCAUGUUUCCCGUCACUGUGGUUCCCUGGAGGCGAAUGCUCACGGCUCCUCCUUAGGGGCCUCCAGCUGACCACAGCGCCCAACGUAGCCUGCACUGAAUGAAAGAUUCACCCAUGGACUCCACAUGUAUUUGCCCAGUUAAACUCACAGCGGUCCCAUGAGGGAAGUGAAUGAUUAGUUUGCACAUUGAAAUGGGAAUUGGAAGACAACAACAUUUGACAUACUUGGCCUCUUUUGCAAUUUUCUCAUCAAAGGCAAGUUCUCUAUAAAUGUCUAACAGAAAUGACUUACAAUAAUUAGGCCUUCUCCCUUCUUCCGUUUAUCUAAUAAAAGUGCUCUAAAUGGUUAAUGCUAAUAUCUCAGAAUGCUUCAAUUAAAUGAAACAUUAACAUUUAAAGUUAGCUUUCAGGAGAAUUUAAACUUGAAGUUUCUACUGAUUGCCUUGCUGCUGACAUUAAUUUAAGCACAAGCAAUCAUGAAACCACCAAAUAGUUCAGAGAAACAUGGUUUUCAAGCAAAGGUGAGAUAACUUUGUCAAGAAAAGAAAACAGAGCUAUAAAACCUAAUAAACCAUUGAGAACAACCACACACAGUACUCUGACUUGAGUCAGAUUGAGACCUUUCCAUUUGCACCUAAAUUCUGCCUGGAAAAAAAGCUACAUCAAAGCUUGAUACAGAAGAAAAAAUGCAAACAGAAUGGAACACACCUUUCCUUCCUCUUUCUUUCAAAAAACCUAGGCUAAUUCCAUAAUUAUUUCAUUAAAAUAGCCUCUAACUCCUCCCAUAAUUAAACCAAUCCCAAAAAUAGGAAAAUUAAAACCAACAGAACAACCAGUUAAAAGAAGCUAACGCAAGCUAACCCUAUGUGAGCCUGAUUUAUGUGAUGAGAGAAGGGAAAAUAGGAGACCAGUGUACAGGAAGGAGAGCCACACUGCUGUGCUGGAUUGGGAAGGGAGAAUAGCUGCAAAGAGAGAAGAGAAAGGGAAGACAGCUGUGGAUGGGCAAGGUGGGGUGGAGAGUGGAGGCACAGAGGCUGGCCGUGCUGCCGCUGGAGAGUGGCUCUCAAGAGGCCAUGUUAAAAGAAGACACUGUAUGCGGAAUGCGGAAAGCAGCAGAAAUGAUUUCCCACCAAAUCCUCUCCAUCUGGAGGCUUGGCGCAGGGCGUGGCUGGCCAUGUGGUUGCAUGCUGAUGGAGGUCCUGCUGCUCAGCUGUGGCUUGUGUUUGACAUUCUAGAAUGAAGGUAGGACGUUUGGGGAAUGGGUGGCCCAAUUUUGGGAAUAAUAGAUUUUAUUAUCAGUUAGAAGCUCAAUUUAAUCAGGACAACAUAAAACAAUGAGGGAGUAAUGUAGGGUUGCAGACAAAGCUCUACCAUUGAUUAUUUUGUGACUCAAACAAGUGUCUGAUUUGAGCAACUUGCUUCAUCUA